UGCCACGACGGUUCAGCCGUUUUGGGCGGCGAGGUGGCUGCUGUCGGAUCCGAAGGACCGCUGUAGUCGUCGUCGCUGUCCGAAAUGCGGUGCACUCUUUCGUGGUACGCGUCAGCGUCGGUUCGCAGCGGGCGAUAAGGCCUUGUGGAAGGUAGCUAGGGGCUUGCCCCUAGUGUUAUAGACGCAGGAGCUGGGCUCGCUACGGACCGAGGAGAGAGAGUAUCGUUGCAGCGCAUGCCGCAAGGCUAGCUACCUGCCGUCUGUCUCGCUUCACGGACUGAGGACUGCACGCAGUGCUCGGACUGGCGGAGUGGUCCGGCGGUGGAGUGGUAUAAA
This 336-nucleotide ribosomal RNA is filed under the name Leucetta chagosensis. RNAcentral's name for it is "partial large subunit ribosomal RNA". The record is from RNAcentral. Lineage: Eukaryota; Metazoa; Porifera; Calcarea; Clathrinida; Leucettidae.